Molecule: ribosomal RNA, 496 nt
Filed under: uncultured bacterium
Lineage: Bacteria
Description: partial 16S ribosomal RNA
Rfam family: Bacterial small subunit ribosomal RNA
Source: RNAcentral
GAUGAACGCUGGCGGCGUGCCUAAUACAUGCAAGUCGAGCGAACGGACGAGAAGCUUGCUUCUCUGAUGUUAGCGGCGGACGGGUGAGUAACACGUGGAUAACCUACCUAUAAGACUGGGAUAACUUCGGGAAACCGGAGCUAAUACCGGAUAAUAUUUUGAACCGCAUGGUUCAAAAGUGAAAGACGGUCUUGCUGUCACUUAUAGAUGGAUCCGCGCUGCAUUAGCUAGUUGGUAAGGUAACGGCUUACCAAGGCAACGAUGCAUAGCCGACCUGAGAGGGUGAUCGGCCACACUGGAACUGGACACGGUCCAGACUCCUACGGGAGGCAGCAGUAGGGAAUCUUCCGCAAUGGGCGAAAGCCUGACGGAGCAACGCCGCGUGAGUGAUGAAGGUCUUCGGAUCGUAAAACUCUGUUAUUAGGGAAGAACAUAUGUGUAAGUAACUGUGCACAUCUUGACGGUACCUAAUCAGAAAGCCACGGCUAACUACGUG